Molecule: transfer RNA, 66 nt
Filed under: Silurus meridionalis
Lineage: Eukaryota; Metazoa; Chordata; Actinopteri; Siluriformes; Siluridae
Description: tRNA-Cys
Rfam family: tRNA
About the family: Transfer RNA (tRNA) molecules are approximately 80 nucleotides in length. Their secondary structure includes four short double-helical elements and three loops (D, anti-codon, and T loops).
Source: RNAcentral
AGCUUUGUGGUGUAUAACACGUUGGAUUGCAAAUCCAGAGAUGGAGGUUAACGCCUCCCGGGGCUU